ACCAUCUAUGUAGCAUUCCAAUAUUCUUGAUUGACUCAUAAAUUUCUUUUACAGUUGGCUUGGUCAAGUCAGUGUUCAAACUAUCUCCUGCUCUUUCAAGGGGAUCUGGGGCUCUAGAAGAUUAGAGGACUUGGAGAGGUUAGUGACUUGCUCGAGGUCGGCUAGGAAGCAAGACCCAGGAUUCCAACUCAGGUCUGUGUGAUUCCUCUGCAAAAUGGAGAGGUGGAAGGAUGGAUGUCAGGUCUGAUGGAUGGAUGGAUGCCUACAUCAAGAUACAUGCAUAGAU
Molecule: long non-coding RNA, 286 nt
Organism: Homo sapiens (human)
Lineage: Eukaryota; Metazoa; Chordata; Mammalia; Primates; Hominidae
Gene: MEG8
Product: maternally expressed 8, small nucleolar RNA host gene
Source: Ensembl